This 462-nucleotide ribosomal RNA is filed under the name uncultured bacterium. Its description in RNAcentral is "partial 16S ribosomal RNA". It matches the Rfam family "Bacterial small subunit ribosomal RNA", at positions 28 to 507 of the family's 1533-position model. The record is from RNAcentral.
GACGAACGCUGGCGGCGUGCUUAACACAUGCAAGUCGAACGGUAAGGCCUUUCGGGGUACACGAGUGGCGAACGGGUGAGUAACACGUGGGUGAUCUGCUCUGCACUUCGGGAUAAGCCCGGGAGACUGGGUCUAAUACCGGAUAGGACUGCGCGGUGCAUGCCGUGUGGUGGAAAGAUUUAUCGGUGCAGGAUGGGCCCGCGGCCUAUCAGCUUGUUGGUGGGGUAAUGGCCUACCAAGGCGACGACGGGUAGCCGGCCUGAGAGGGCGACCGGCCACACUGGGACUGAGAGACGGCCCAGACUCCUACGGGAGGCAGCAGUGGGGAAUAUUGCACAAUGGGCGCAAGCCUGAUGCAGCGACGCCGCGUGAGGGAUGACGGCCUUCGGGUUGGAAACCUCUUUCAGCAGGGACGAAGCGUGAGUGACGGUACCUGCAGAAGAAGCACCGGCCAACUACGUG